UGAAAGAUUUCAACCACUCAUACCAUGCCU
This 30-nucleotide non-coding RNA is filed under the name Homo sapiens (human). The record is from RNAcentral. Lineage: Eukaryota; Metazoa; Chordata; Mammalia; Primates; Hominidae.